GGGAAGGUUAAAUCUUACUGGUGGAUGCUGGGAAAGGUUAAAUCUUACUGGUGGAUGCUGGGGAAGGUUAAAUCUUACUGGUGGAUGCUGGGAAAGGUUAAAUCUUACUGGUGGAUGCUGGGAAAGGUUAAAUCUUACUGGUGGAUGCUGGGAAAGGUUAAAUCUUACUGGUGGAUGCUGGGAAAGGUUAAAUCUUACUGGUGGAUGCUGGGAAAGGUUAAAUCUUACUGGUGGAUGCUGGGGAAGGUUAAAUCUUACUGGUGGAUGCUGGGAAAGGUUAAAUCUUACUGGUGGAUGCUGGGGAAGGUUAAAUCUUACUGGUGGAUGCUGGGAAAGGUUAAAUCUUACUGGUGGAUGCUGGGAAAGGUUAAAUCUUACUGGUGGAUGCUGGGGAAGGUUAAAUCUUACUGGUGGAUGCUGGGGAAGGUUAAAUCUUACUGGUGGAUGCUGGGAAAGGUUAAAUCUUACUGGUGGAUGCUGGGGAAGGUUAAAUCUUACUGGUGGAUGCUGGGAAAGGUUAAAUCUUACUGGUGGAUGCUGGGAAAGGUUAAAUCUUACUGGUGGAUGCUGGGGAAGGUUAAAUCUUACUGGUGGAUGCUGGGAAAGGUUAAAUCUUACUGGUGGAUGCUGGGAAAGGUUAAAUCUUACUGGUGGAUGCUGGGAAAGGUUAAAUCUUACUGGUGGAUGCUGGGGAAGGUUAAAUCUUACUGGUGGAUGCUGGGAAAGGUUAAAUCUUACUGGUGGAUGCUGGGAAAGGUUAAAUCUUACUGGUGGAUGCUGGGAAAGGUUAAAU
Molecule: long non-coding RNA, 793 nt
Organism: Eriocheir sinensis (Chinese mitten crab)
Lineage: Eukaryota; Metazoa; Arthropoda; Malacostraca; Decapoda; Varunidae
Exons: 6
Source: RefSeq, a predicted model, not a curated record